This 707-nucleotide ribosomal RNA is filed under the name Mortierella alpina. Its description in RNAcentral is "eukaryotic LSU rRNA". It matches the Rfam family "Eukaryotic large subunit ribosomal RNA", at positions 92 to 655 of the family's 3401-position model. The record is from RNAcentral. Lineage: Eukaryota; Fungi; Mortierellomycota; Mortierellomycetes; Mortierellales; Mortierellaceae.
AGUGAAGCGGGAUGAGCUCAAAUUUAAAAUCUGGCUGGUUUACUAGUCCGAAUUGUAGUUUAAAGAAGCGUUUUCGGUGGCAGCCUGGGUAUAAAUCCUUUGGAACAGGGUAUCAUAGAGGGUGAGAAUCCCGUCUUUGACUCAGUGCAUGCUACUAUGUGAUACGUUUUCAAAGAGUCGAGUUGUUUGGGAAUGCAGCUCAAAAUGGGUGGUAAAUUUCAUCUAAAGCUAAAUAUUGGCGAGAGACCGAUAGCGAACAAGUACCGUGAGGGAAAGAUGAAAAGAACUUUGAAAAGAGAGUUAAACAGUGCGUGAAAUUGUUGAAAGGGAAACGCUUGACACCAGUCAUGCGAGCGGAAAAUCAGUCUUUUGCAGUGGGGAGUGUGUGUGGGUUCGGACCGCAAGGCCGGCCUGCGCUUCAUCUCUGCUGUAAGUGAUGCACUUUUUCGUUUGCAGGCCAACAUCAGUUUCUUCUGCUGGACAAAACUCUUGAGAAGGUAGCAGCUUAGGCUGUGUUAUAGCUCUUGAGCGAUACAGUGGAGGAGACUGAGGUUUUCGCAGCGCGUGCUUUCGGGCAAGGCUGAUUGGGUGCUAUGGGAUCGUUCGGUGUACAAUGCAUGCAUUUUGCGCCGUGUCUUUUCUAUACUCGCUCAACUCGGCUCUCCGCGCUUAGGAUGUUGGCUUAAUGGUUUUAAUCGACCCGUCUU